RNAcentral lists this ribosomal RNA (1375 nucleotides) under uncultured bacterium. RNAcentral's name for it is "bacterial SSU rRNA". It matches the Rfam family "Bacterial small subunit ribosomal RNA", at positions 28 to 1381 of the family's 1533-position model. The record is from RNAcentral.
GAUGAACGCUGGCGGCGUGCCUAAUACAUGCAAGUCGAGCGAACGGACGAGAAGCUUGCUUCUCUGAUGUUAGCGGCGGACGGGUGAGUAACACGUGGAUAACCUACCUAUAAGACUGGGAUAACUUCGGGAAACCGGAGCUAAUACCGGAUAAUAUUUUGAACCGCAUGGUUCAAAAGUGAAAGACGGUCUUGCUGUCACUUAUAGAUGGAUCCGCGCUGCAUUAGCUAGUUGGUAAGGUAACGGCUUACCAAGGCAACGAUGCAUAGCCGACCUGAGAGGGUGAUCGGCCACACUGGAACUGAGACACGGUCCAGACUCCUACGGGAGGCAGCAGUAGGGAAUCUUCCGCAAUGGGCGAAAGCCUGACGGAGCAACGCCGCGUGAGUGAUGAAGGUCUUCGGAUCGUAAAACUCUGUUAUUAGGGAAGAACAUAUGUGUAAGUAACUGUGCACAUCUUGACGGGUACCCUAUCAGAAAGCCACGGGCUAACUACGUGCCAGCAGCCGCGGUAAUACGUAGGUGGCAAAGCGUUAUCCGGAAUUAUGGGGCGUAAAGCGCGCGUAGGCGGUUUUUUAGUCUGAUGUGAAAGCCCACGGCUCAACCGUGGAGGGUCAUUGGAAACUGGAAAACUUGAGUGCAGAAGAGGAAAGUGGAAUUCCAUGUGUAGCGGUGAAAUGCGCAGAGAUAUGGAGGAACACCAGUGGCGAAGGCGACUUUCUGGUCUGUAACUGACGCUGAUGUGCGAAAGCGUGGGGAUCAAACAGGAUUAGAUACCCUGGUAGUCCACGCCGUAAACGAUGAGUGCUAAGUGUUAGGGGGUUUCCGCCCCUUAGUGCUGCAGCUAACGCAUUAAGCACUCCGCCUGGGGAGUACGACCGCAAGGUUGAAACUCAAAGGAAUUGACGGGGACCCGCACAAGCGGUGGAGCAUGUGGUUUAAUUCGAAGCAACGCGAAGAACCUUACCAAAUCUUGACAUCCUUUGACAACUCUAGAGAUAGAGCCUUCCCCUUCGGGGGGGCAAAGUGACAGGUGGUGCAUGGUUGUCGUCAGCUCGUGUCGUGAGAUGUUGGGUUAAGUCCCGCAACGAGCGCAACCCUUAAGCUUAGUUGCCAUCAUUAAGUUGGGCACUCUAAGUUGACUGCCGGUGACAAACCGGAGGAAGGUGGGGAUGACGUCAAAUCAUCAUGCCCCUUAUGAUUUGGGCUACACACGUGCUACAAUGGACAAUACAAAGGGCAGCGAAACCGCGAGGUCAAGCAAAUCCCAUAAAGUUGUUCUCAGUUCGGAUUGUAGUCUGCAACUCGACUACAUGAAGCUGGAAUCGCUAGUAAUCGUAGAUCAGCAUGCUACGGUGAAUACGUUCCCGGGUCU